UACGAAGGGGGCUAGCGUUGUUCGGAAUCACUGGGCGUAAAGCGCACGCAGGCGGAUUGAUAAGUUAGGGGUGAAAUCCCGGAGCUCAACUUCGGAAUUGCCUUUGAUACUGUCAGUCUCGAGUCCGGGAGAGGUGAGUGGAAUUCCUAGUGUAGAGGUGAAAUUCGUAGAUAUUAGGAAGAACACCAGUGGCGAAGGCGGCUCACUGGCCCGGUACUGACGCUCAUGUGCGAAAGCGUGGGGAGCAAACAGG
RNAcentral lists this ribosomal RNA (253 nucleotides) under uncultured bacterium. RNAcentral's name for it is "partial 16S ribosomal RNA". It matches the Rfam family "Bacterial small subunit ribosomal RNA", at positions 524 to 776 of the family's 1533-position model. The record is from RNAcentral.